Molecule: ribosomal RNA, 253 nt
Filed under: uncultured bacterium
Lineage: Bacteria
Description: partial 16S ribosomal RNA
Rfam family: Bacterial small subunit ribosomal RNA
Source: RNAcentral
UACGGAGGGUGCAAGCGUUAUCCGGAUUCACUGGGUUUAAAGGGUGCGUAGGCGGCGUGGUAAGUCAGUGGUGAAAUCUCCAAGCUUAACUUGGAAACUGCCGUUGAUACUAUCAUUCUUGAAUAUCGUGGAGGUAAGCGGAAUAUGUCAUGUAGCGGUGAAAUGCUUAGAUAUGACAUAGAACACCGAUUGCGAAGGCAGCUUGCUACACGAUCAUUGACACUGAGGCACGAAAGCGUGGGGAUCAAACAGG